GUGGGGAAUUUUGGACAAUGGGCGCAAGCCUGAUCCAGCCAUUCCGCGUGCAGGAUGAAGGCCUUCGGGUUGUAAACUGCUUUUGUACGGAACGAAAAGCCUCUGGUUAAUACCCGGGGGUCAUGACGGUACCGUAAGAAUAAGCACCGGCUAACUACGUGCCAGCAGCCGCGGUAAUACGUAGGGUGCGAGCGUUAAUCGGAAUUACUGGGCGUAAAGCGUGCGCAGGCGGUUUUGUAAGACAGGCGUGAAAUCCCCGGGCUCAACCUGGGAAUGGCGCUGGUGACUGCAAGGCUGGAGUGCGGCAGAGGGGGAUGGAAUUCCGCGUGUAGCAGUGAAAUGCGUAGAUAUGCGGAGGAACACCGAUGGCGAAGGCAAUCCCCUGGGCCUGCACUGACGCUCAUGCACGAAAGCGUGGGGAGCAAACAGGAUUAGAUACCCUUGUAGUCC
RNAcentral lists this ribosomal RNA (450 nucleotides) under uncultured bacterium. RNAcentral's name for it is "partial 16S ribosomal RNA". It matches the Rfam family "Bacterial small subunit ribosomal RNA", at positions 354 to 796 of the family's 1533-position model. The record is from RNAcentral.